GUAAGAUCAAGAGAACCAAAGAAGACUCCAUGAACAAAGUCAUGGAAUUCAAUUGCUGGGGUCCCACUACUACCAGAUUCUAGAUCUGCAUAAUUCAAUCCCUUUAUGCAUCAUUCUGUAUCUACUUUCAACCUUCUUCUUCUCCUCUGCAAAAACUACUUACCUCAUUCAUCCAAUCUUAGCUACUAAAAUGGAUACCAAGAAAAAAUUAGCUGUAUUUUCUACUACCCUAUGGCUAGAGGAUUCUGGAUUCGUGUUAAAGUUUGUAACUUUUUUUGUAGUUUACCCAGAAAUAUUUCCCAAUAGACACCAACUUAAUCUGUCAUUGACAUCAUCAUCUACCUUCUUACUAUCUCAUAAAGACACCUUCUAUUGUUACAUAACAUAUGUUAUUAUAAAUGUCCAUAUAGUGCAUUGAAGAGACAAUUGAAUAUUUAUAAAAUAAAAAUAUAUUUUAAAAUUCAAAAUGUAAUUUUACACUGAAAAUUUUCUUAACUUUAUUUUUCUUGUAAUUUGUUUUUAAAAUUUGUCCUUAUUGUUUUAUGAUAUUGCUUGUAAAGUAUUUAGCUUAUUAAUGUUUGUAUUAAUAGUUAUAUUCUUUUUUAAUUAUUAGUCCCUGUUAAAUGUCUUUUGUAAAAACUUAUUCAAAAUGAAUAUACUAUUGUAUGAAUUAAAAUAAAAUACAAUUAUAUUUCUUUUAGAGAUAUGUAUUUAAAUUAUAUAUAUUAUGAUUACAUUAGUAAGAUCGAUAAUAAGACAUCGUGAAAUUUUAUAAUUUUAUAGAGACUGAAAAUAUAUUUUUAUAUAUUUAAUGAAAAUACAAAAUAAUUUUUUUAAUAAAGAAUGGUGGCAACAAUUCUAGAAGAUUAAGAAAACUAAAAUAAUUUCUUUUUCUGUAGAAUAUAUCUUUUGAAAAAGAAAAAGAAAAUGAAAACAGUUUUAUAUUAUAAAAACUAAAAAUAUAUUUUAUUUAUGAUGUAUUAUGUCCUUCGAUUGUUAAGUGAAGUGUUGUGUAAAUUGCUAUUUCAUUUCAAAAUAUACAACUAUAUAAUGAUAUAAAUCGUAAAAAAAUAGUAAUAUUUUUUUACUUAAAUUACAGAGUUUAACACACAAGUACAAUUAAAAAUAUUUUUUAUAACAAAAGUAAAAAAAAUAAUUAUGCCAUAAGUUCCAAGAUUAUCAAUACUAAGUUCUUACAUUCUUUUACUGAAAGUGCCGGAAAGAUCCAAAUGAAAAUAAUUCAUAAAUGUAAGAAACUCAAUUAAAACAUUAUAAAUAACUUAAAGUAUAUUGAUUGACAGAAAUAUAUAUAUAUAUAUAUAUAUAUAUAUAUAUAUAUAUAUAUAUAUAUAUAUAUAUAUAUAUUUCUUCUUUUGACGUCUACUUUCUUCGAAAGAAUCGAAGAAAGGGUGGAACCACGGAUUCUUUCCCGUACGUUGCGUGAUGUAACUUAUGAAUAAGCGUUUCAUAUUUUUAUUGUUAUUUAAGACAAACAGCGCGUACCAUGAAUCUUUUAGGAGACAAGACAACGUGUGGAUUUUUUAAAGCGGCAGGAUUCAGCUGAAAACAGGGGGCACAACAACGCCCCUGGUUUUGCUUUUCUUAAAUUCCUUCCACCCCGAUUAAGCCUGUGGUUUGGCAUUAACCGCCUUCCUGAAAAUCACUCAAUCACCCACAUAUAUAUAGAAACAAACAAAUCACUCGAUCAACGCAUCAAAACAAUACAUACCAAUUUUUCAUCAAAAAGCCAUAGCAGUUAUCAUGAGUGCAGCAACCAGAGCUUGGAUUGUUGCAUCCAGCAUUGGGGCAGUGGAGGCCUUGAAGGAUCAACUGGGGGUGUGCAGGUGGAAUUAUGCCUUGAGAUCACUCCAGCAGCAUG
Molecule: long non-coding RNA, 1879 nt
Filed under: Vigna radiata
Lineage: Eukaryota; Viridiplantae; Streptophyta; Magnoliopsida; Fabales; Fabaceae
Description: long non-coding RNA (VRAD_LNC012692)
Source: RNAcentral